AGAGUUUGAUCCUGGCUCAGGAUGAACGCUGGCGGUAUGCCUUAUACAUGCAAGUCGUACGAGAGUUUUUAACUCUAGUGGCGGACGGGUGAGUAACACGUAAGAAUUUGCCUUUAGGAGGGGGACAACAACUGGAAACGGUUGCUAAUACCCCAUAUGCUUUCGAGUGAAAUGGAUUUCCGCCUAAAGAGAAGCUUGCGGCUGAUUAGCUUGUUGGUAGGGUAAUGGCCUACCAAGGCGACGAUCAGUAUCUGGUUUGAGAGGACGAUCAGACACACUGGAACUGAGACACGGUCCAGACUCCUACGGGAGGCAGCAGUAGGGAAUUUUCCGCAAUGGGCGAAAGCCUGACGGAGCAAUACCGCGUGAGGGAUGACUGCCUAUGGGUUGUAAACCUCUUUUUUCAGGGAGGAAUAAAUGACGUGUACCUGAAGAAUAAGCAUCGGCUAACUCCGUGCCAGCAGCCGCGGUAAGACGGAGGAUGCAAGUGUUAUCCGGAAUCACUGGGCGUAAAGCGUCUGUAGGUGGCUCGACAAGUCAACUGUUAAAUCUUGAAGCUCAACUUCGAAAUCGCAGUCGAAACUAUCGAACUAGAGUAUAGUAGAGGUAAAGGGAAUUUCCAGUGGAGCGGUGAAAUGCGUAGAGAUUGGAAAGAACACCGAUGGCGAAGGCACUUUACUGGGCUAUUACUGACACUCAGAGACGAAAGCUAGGGUAGCAAAUGGGAUUAGAUACCCCAGUAGUCCUAGCCGUAAACAAUGGAUACUAGGUGUUGAACAGAUCGACCUGUGCAGUACCAAAGCU
Molecule: ribosomal RNA, 804 nt
Filed under: uncultured bacterium
Lineage: Bacteria
Description: bacterial SSU rRNA
Rfam family: Bacterial small subunit ribosomal RNA
Source: RNAcentral